RNAcentral lists this ribosomal RNA (164 nucleotides) under uncultured bacterium. RNAcentral's name for it is "partial 16S ribosomal RNA". It matches the Rfam family "Bacterial small subunit ribosomal RNA", at positions 355 to 511 of the family's 1533-position model. The record is from RNAcentral.
UAGGGAAUCUUCGGCAAUGGACGAAAGUCUGACCGAGCAACACCGCGUGAGUGAAGAAGGGUUUCGGCUCGUAAAGCUCUGUUGUUAAAGAAGAACACGUAUGAGAGUAACUGUUCAUACGUUGACGGUAUUUAACCAGAAAGUCACGGCUAACUACGUGCCAG